Molecule: long non-coding RNA, 365 nt
Organism: Scleropages formosus (Asian bonytongue)
Lineage: Eukaryota; Metazoa; Chordata; Actinopteri; Osteoglossiformes; Osteoglossidae
Exons: 4
Source: RefSeq, a predicted model, not a curated record
GAAGGCUGUGCGGUUUUCCACUCUUCACUCAUUUUUCUUUCUCUGCUUAACUAAGGAACAUACCUAUUGCUUCAGUUCUGACAUCUUCAACCACGCACCUGCUCAGCUGCUGCUGUGUCUCUCAACUCAACUCAACUUGGUCCAGCAGGAGAGGUCAGACUCACCUGCUCCCAGCUGUGUGUCCAUGAAAUUUGGCUAGUGGAUGGUCCCCCACCGAAAUUCUGUAAUGAGGGCAUUACUGCUGAUAAAAGGUCUCCAACGAACACUGAAGGAGGUGCAUCAGCAGGUGCGACAGAACCAGUGAACCCCUAACCGGGAAGACACGCUAGAGCUGCUCCCAGGCGACUGGGUUCUCAUCCGUGACC